Triticum dicoccoides is the source of this 1151-nucleotide long non-coding RNA. RefSeq lists it as uncharacterized. The transcript is spliced from 5 exons. The record is from RefSeq and is a predicted model, not a curated record. NCBI's taxonomy places the organism in Eukaryota, Viridiplantae, Streptophyta, Magnoliopsida, Poales, Poaceae.
CUCCCUUUCCCCCCACGUACAUCAAGCCCCUUCUCCUACGCCCAUGGCUAACCCUAGCCGCCAUUGUCGCCAGCGCACUACGCUGUCUUGGAUGCCAGCGCGGCUCCAACGCCUCAUGGCGCUCCUCAUCAAGGUAUCCUGCCCGCUCUACUGCAUCACUGAGGCCGUCGAGCGCGAGGGCAUGCACUCCCGGCCGCAGCGGUGGUUCCCGAUCUGCGCCGCGGCCAGGGGGAGCUGCCGUGCCGGGACCGCGCGGCAAGCAUGCAGACCUGCGACUCCUCCGACGGGAGGAGGAGAACAUGGUGGCAGCGGGCCAGUGGGAAGGGGGCGUCCGGGUCGACGAGGCGCUGCGAUACGAGGCGAAGGACGAGGACGAGGUGGGGAUCACCGUUUGCACGCACGGGUAGAUCGGCGGCGAGCCCGACGCCAGCGCUACCAACAUCGGCACCAGCAGGGGCGCGCUCAAGGAAGGCGCGGGCGUGGCGGACCAGAUGCAGAAGCAGUGGACCAGGGCCGACACGGUGCUUGUGGGCGCCUGGCGAAUUUGCAGGCGUGGCGUCAUGACCGGGCACAGAAGAAGGUCUCGGCAGCACCCAAUGGCAGGCUGAACGGCAUGGGUGGCAUAUCAAAAUCCUCGUGGCAUCCAUAGGGCAGUGGGCAACCAUGUUCUUGGGGAAAAAAUUGUAGCUCGCAUGGUGAGAUGCUCACCAGUAGUCAUAGUUGCAGUUUUGGUGCGUCAACGUCAAGUGGUGGAUACAUUGUUGGCUUGAAUUUGCAUGUCCCCUGAAGGUUCUAAGUGAGUGUUGCAUCAAAGGGUGUUGUUAUGAUUUCCUCGAGGUAUGGAUCAGGGGAGUCAGGUUUACAUGAUUUAGCUCGUUGUUGGCUGGAAGAUUACAACAAAGAAUAUAUAGGAUGACAAUCGUUACAAUGCUCUGGGAGUGGGGCACAUCUUACGUUUAAGAGGGCCGAGAAAAAUCGGAUUUUGGUUGACAAGAUUCUGGGAAUGGUAGAUGUUUUGACCAGAAAAAUCAUAGCUUCGGAGAAUGAAAGAGGAAGAGUUCACAUGAUAUGAUGGCGUACUCCUUCUCUCAAUGCUGGAUGAAUACAUGAUCGUUUGGCAGGACAAAGAACAGGAAAGAAAAGACAAAGAG